This 407-nucleotide long non-coding RNA is filed under the name Bos taurus (domestic cattle). RNAcentral's name for it is "long non-coding RNA NONBTAT017682". Lineage: Eukaryota; Metazoa; Chordata; Mammalia; Artiodactyla; Bovidae. The record is from RNAcentral.
ACUUUGACUUCGCUUUUCUCGCUAUGAUCCCCACCCCUUUUGGCGGGGGGUGGGGGUGGUGAGCUCCUUUGAACUGGUGCUGUGUUCUAUUUGUAUUAUCUCCACUCCUGAGGAUCCCUUUCCUCAAACCACUGCUUUUAUCAUGUUUUUAAGUUCUUCCAUUCUCCCCUUUAAACUCCCUCUUCAAGAACUGCCUGCAAAAGGGUCAUAUUCAUAAUAUGGGAUUAAUGUGAAGAAACCAAAGGAUGAUUUUUUAAAAAGCCAAAUGGACGCCCUGGAGGACUCUGUUUUGGAUUGUAUUUUUGCUUGUUUAGCUGGUUGUGAUUUAUUAGGUUCUUUAUUCCCUUUAAGGUCGGUUCUAGUUUAAACCUAACAUCUCUGACUGAUGGCGCCCAAUAAAAUAAAAC